This 67-nucleotide transfer RNA is filed under the name Marmota monax (woodchuck). RNAcentral's name for it is "tRNA.Ala". The stretch from base 7 to 62 matches the Rfam family "tRNA", at positions 9 to 63 of the family's 71-position model. Rfam says of the family: Transfer RNA (tRNA) molecules are approximately 80 nucleotides in length. Their secondary structure includes four short double-helical elements and three loops (D, anti-codon, and T loops). Lineage: Eukaryota; Metazoa; Chordata; Mammalia; Rodentia; Sciuridae. The record is from RNAcentral.
GGUACCGGCUCAGUGGUAGAGCACUUGCCUAGCAUGUGGGAGGCCCUGGGUUCAAUUCUCAGCACCA